GAUGAACGCUAGCGGCAGGCCUAAUACAUGCAAGUCGAACGGUGUCUUCGGACAUAGUGGCGCACGGGUGCGUAACACGUAUGCAACCUACCUUACAUUGGGGGAUAGCCUUUCGAAAGGGAGAUUAAUACCGCAUAAGACAGUAGCUGGGCAUCCAGCAGCUGUUAAAGAUUUAUCGAUGUAAGAUGGGCAUGCGUCCAAUUAGUUAGUUGGCGAGGUAAAGGCCCACCAAGACUUUGAUUGGUAGGGGAACUGAGAGGUCAAUCCCCCACACUGGCACUGAGAGACGGGCCAGACUCCUACGGGAGGCAGCAGUAGGGAAUAUUGGGCAAUGGACGCAAGUCUGACCCAGCCAUGCCGCGUGCAGGAUGAAGGCGUUAUGCGUUGUAAACUGCUUUUAUACAGGAAGAAACGACUCUUGCGAGAGGCAUUGACGGUACUGUAUGAAUAAGCACCGGCUAACUCCGUGCCAGCAGCCGCAGUAA
RNAcentral lists this ribosomal RNA (485 nucleotides) under uncultured bacterium. RNAcentral describes it as "partial 16S ribosomal RNA". It matches the Rfam family "Bacterial small subunit ribosomal RNA", at positions 28 to 523 of the family's 1533-position model. The record is from RNAcentral.